UUGUAAAUCUGAAUGCCAUGGAGGACUGUGAAAUAAUUGGAAUGAUAUUUGAUUUCAUUGGGGAUGUCUUGUUCGGCUGUAAGUUGGAGGAUAUUGGAGAAGUGGAGUUGGAUAACUGACACGUCGACUGAUGAUGACGAUGACGAC
This is a non-coding RNA of Drosophila bipectinata, 147 nucleotides long. The record is from RefSeq and is a predicted model, not a curated record. NCBI's taxonomy places the organism in Eukaryota, Metazoa, Arthropoda, Insecta, Diptera, Drosophilidae.